RNA transcript from Hypanus sabinus (Atlantic stingray), 9176 nucleotides. It is a transcript of the gene named HNF1 homeobox Ba, with no coding region annotated. The record is from RefSeq and is a predicted model, not a curated record. The transcript is spliced from 11 exons. NCBI's taxonomy places the organism in Eukaryota, Metazoa, Chordata, Chondrichthyes, Myliobatiformes, Dasyatidae.
CUCGCAUUGUCCCGGCUCCUCCAACACGCACUCUCGCAGCCUCGCUGUAUUUGCAUAUUGCUAAGACUUUUUUCCCCCACAAAGACUUCCCGCCGAUUUGCAUAUUCUUAUAUUCAGUUCCCAAAGAAUGAUCAUGGCAGUUUAGUGCAAAAGGUGCCUCCAGGAAGCGGCUUCUCUGGAUUUAAAAUUUUUUUUUGCCAUUUCUCGAAAAUAUUUUUUGAUGUUCGAGGAACGAGUGGUUACAAAGGAUCCGAUUGGUCUGCGCGCUUAUAUAUUUUCUAAAAAGUCUGAUUUAAUUAAAAGAUGGUGUCCAAACUGACAUCUCUCCAACAGGAACUAUUGAGCGCCUUGUUGAGCUCCGGAGUAUCCAAAGAUGUACUGAUUCAGGCUUUGGAAGAUUUGGAACCCUCCCCGAGCUUUGAGGUGAAAUUGGAGAACCUGCCCGCGUCCCCCUUGAAGAUGAACGGCUCGAGUUCGGACACCAAGGUCGUCUUCCACUCCCUGACUAAUGGGCACGGCAAAGGCAAAUUAUCCGGGGACGAGGGCUCGGAAGACGGCGAGGAUUAUGACACACCUCCCAUCCUCAAGGAACUGGAGUCUCUGAACACGGAGGAGGCGGCGGAGCAGAGAGCCGAGGUGGACAGAAUGCUGAGGGAGGACCCGUGGCGAGCGGCGAAGAUGAUCAAGGGCUACAUGCAGCAGCACAACAUCCCCCAGCGGGAGGUGGUGGACGUGACGGGCCUAAAUCAGUCUCACCUCUCGCAGCAUCUGAACAAGGGCACCCCGAUGAAGAACCAGAAACGGGCCGCCCUCUACACCUGGUACAUCAGGAAGCAACAGGAGAUUCAGAGACAAUUCAACCAGACUAUCCAGAAUACUGGAAACAAUAUGACAGACAAAAGCAGGCCAGAUCAGCUGCUGUUUCUCUUUCCAGAGUUCAAUCAGCAAGACCAGGCCUCGGGGCAGGCUGAGGAGGCGGGUACUGAACCUGCCAACAAGAAGAUGCGCCGCAACAGGUUUAAAUGGGGACCAGCUUCCCAGCAAAUAUUAUACCAAGCUUAUGAAAGACAGAAGAAUCCCAGCAAGGAGGAACGGGAGGCACUAGUGGAGGAAUGUAACAGAGCCGAAUGCAUACAACGUGGCGUGUCUCCUUCUAAAGCACAUGGACUAGGAUCGAAUCUGGUUACAGAAGUCAGAGUGUAUAACUGGUUUGCCAACCGAAGGAAGGAAGAAGCUUUCCGCCAGAAACUAGCCAUGGACGCGUACAGUGUUCAGUCGCACAACAUGAACCCACUGCUGUCCCAUAGCUCUCCGCACCAUCCACCAAACUCCUCUCCCUCGAGUAAGCAUGGCCACUCGCUUCCCGGUGUCUUCCUUCAUGAAGGAAGUCCAGGUGCUCUUGGCUAUGAACAUCUCCACAACCAUCAGUGCCCCAACAUGGCCAGCUGGCAGGAGGUGCUACUCAGUCAGGGAGUACGAUAUGGCCAGCAAGGUACCAAUGAAGUCCCCUCUUCCUCGACGAUCAGUCACCACGGUAACAGUGCCAUGGUAACAAGCCAAACAGUUCUACAGCAAGUCUCGCCAGCAAACCUGGACCCCGGCCACAGUCUGCUGUCACCUGACGGCAAGAUGAUCACUGCCGCUGGUGGACCCCUGCCUCCGGUCAGCACGCUGACAAACAUCCACAGCCUGUCACAGCCGCCACAUCACAACCACCAGCAAACGCAGAACCUCAUCAUCAACCCGCUGUCUGGAGUCAUGGCGAUAGCACAAAGUAUAAGCACGUCGCAAGGACAGAGCGUGCCUGUCAUUAACAGCGUGGCAGCGGGCAGUCUGGCGGCUCUGCAGCCUGUACAGUUCUCACAGCAGCUCCACAGUCCGCACCAGCAGCCAAUCAUGCAGCAGUCUCAGAGUCACAUGUCGCAGCAGCCCUUCAUGGCCACGGUGACCCAGCUGCAGAACUCUCACAUGUACACACAUAAACCAGAUCCUCCCCAGUAUUCCCACACUGCACGCUUCCCGUCAGCGAUGGUCGUCGCGGAUACAGGAAGCAUCAGUGCGCUAGCAAGCAUGUCCUCCAGCAAGCAGUGUGAAUUAGCCCUUCCGGCCCUUUGAGCUGUACCGCACAGCAAUCUCCAAAUUUAAUGCCAGCCUAAUCAUGGGACAUUUUACAAUGACCAAUUAACCUACCAACCUUUGGACUGUGGGAGGAAGCCUACACUGUCACGGGGAGAACAUACAAACUCUAACAGACGGCAGCGGGAAUUGAACGCUCGUACUAUCAAAAGUCGUUCCAACCAUCCAACGGUGCAAUCCCGUGAGUGUCCUCUACAAGCCUGGUGAUGCUCCACACCCUUCCAGUCUGCUGAUCAGAGAAAACAACGUUCAAAAAUAAACACAAAACACUUUUCAAAACAGAUCUCUGGUAUCUACGGAAACCAGGGAAAACUCACUGAGCCAACCAGCAGAUGGUAUGAUUUCAUGGCACACACCUAGCCUGGCCUCCUCUGUGACUAAUUCCUUAGCACACUGACUGAGAACAAGGUGACACAAACUAUAGCUUGAAAUCCCUGCUAGGACAAGAUAUUCCCACUGACAGAAAACAUCCUGUUUCAGAUCACACACUGAUUUGCACAGGUCUGAUGUAAGAACAAAACAAAUGAAAGAGUUUUAGAGAAUUAGAUUUCUCUUUUCUUCAAACUCAAAAAAAAAUCUUUGCAGAGAAAUAACCUUUUAUCUGUUACUGGAAGUUGGUAAGACACCUGUACAGUUCAUUCAAGCUGUGACCAUUAAAUAGAUUGCAGUAAAAUGCUAAAGGCGGAAGCCUUAGGAAGUGAGCACUGGAAUCUUAAUUGUUCUGAUUGAAUGGAGUUUCCAAGAUUGCUGAAAUCUGUUUUGAGGAAAACUGAUCAACUCAAUCAUCUUCAAAUGUGUGAACUGCAUCAUCCCUUCUGAAGAAAUAAAACGGACAUUCCUGGGAGUACAGUUCAAAACAAUACAAUACCCAUGUCUCAUUAUGGUGGAAGUGCAUCGUCAGAUGAGUGUUGAUCUUCACCUUUGAAAAUGACACACCUUUACAGAGAUGGAAUGCUGUCGUGGAUUUGCAAUGAAAGCAAUCAGCAAUUGCAUCUUCAUCCAGACGGCUUGAUUAUUCCCAAUUUCAUUCAGUUAUAAAGGGCUACUGUUUCUGAUUGUAAAACCUAUGGAUUUUGGAUGGGAAGAUGGAAGUUAUUCAGGAUGAUGCUGGAAAGCAGUGAUUUCUUUACCGAGAAGCCACUCCUUGCCUGUGUGAUUUGUAAGGUCCAGCUAUUUCCUCCAGUGACUUUAAAUUCAUUAUGGCUGGUAAAUUUGGUAAAGAACGCAAUUUGUGUUGCUCCUAUUUACAGUGUUGAUCUUAAAUAUUACAUUCCCAUAACGAUGUUCCGUUGUUGCUUAUAUUCUCUUAUUUUCAUCCCCAACAUUAUCAACAUAAAGUCCAACCCAGAACCUGUUGCAGCAGGGCAGCUCUUUUACCUGACUGUACUCCCAUUAAAUGCUUUAUCAGGUGACAUUGUCAGGAAUUAGUUUGACUGUUCCUUUCAGAACUGAUUCAAGAUUCAUUCAGCUAUCAUUUUUCAACAAUAACAUAGCAGGAGUUAAAUAUAAUUGCCCAUCUGAAAAUUAGAUCAUUUUUUAACAGCUGUAGAAUGACUUGUCAGGUGAAUCCAGUGCUUGGAUCCAGAUGUUGUAAUACAGGUUGUGACAGAAGAUGGUGGUACAGAAGUUGGUGCUUAACUGAAAUUGGGGUUCAUUGCAAUCUAUGAAAUAACUAGUAGAGUUAAAUUUGCAACUUAUUGUCACUUGGGCAUUGUUUCAAGAUAUGGCUCAUUGACCUUCAGUGGAAGUGGAGUAUAAUAUACAAAUUGUUACUUCUUUGGUGCCACUGAAUGGAAGACUAAAUUCCUUUGUUCCCACUUCCUACAGCCCUAUUCAACUUGUACACUGCACACAGAGGAUUGAUUAGAAUUUCCCAUAUAUAAUUUUCUCACAAUAUACAAGUGAGUCUUAACCACUAAGGAAUCUAGAACACACAGAAAAUGCUGGAGGAACUCAGCAGACCAGGCAGCAUCUAUAGAAAACACAAAGUACACUGCGGAUGCUGUGGUCAAAUCAACACUUACAAACAAGCUGGAUGAACUCAGCAGGUCGGGCAGCAUCCGUUGAAACGAGCAGUCAACGUUUUGGGCUGAGACCCUUUGUCAGGACCUGCUGUGUUCCUCCAGUAUUUUGUGUGUGUUUCUCCAUAUAUACAAAUUGGUUCAGAUUACUUGUUUAAUGGUAUUAGAGGUCAAGAGAUACACAUACCUAAUCAGAAAGUGUCAGUCCUGAAGCAAUUUAUCACUCAGGUACACUGUUCAAAGGGUAAAUACUGAGAGGUGUUUCCAGUUUGUUAUAAUACUUAGUCCUUAAGGAAGCAAAAGACAAGGCACGUAAUGAUUUGACUGAUUUGAUCAUUGCCAAUUAUAAUGUGUUAAUUAGUUUCUCCUUGGAUAAUGGAUAGUAAGAAGACCAGAAUAUUUCACAACCACACCCCUCUCCCCACACACUUGACAAUGGAAGGGCACAAAUUGGUGAGACUCCUGGAGGAGAUAUGGGAUAAAAAAUUGCCUUUAAAAAAACCUCCUUAACUGAUUGAGAAGCUCAAUCUCUCAAUCUGCUUCUUGCCAUCAAUACUCAUUAAUUUCAUCAAUAAACUAUUGAGUGAUACCAUUUCCACAGCGAUUAAUAUUGCACAGUAAGAGCUGUAACAGCUUAGGACAAUGCUGAGUGAAACAUUUCUUUAAACAUCAAACCGAUUUUAAGUGCCUUGAUGAGGACAAAUGUAAAACUUCAUGCAAGUAAAAACAUAACCCUUUUAUCACUGUGAAAUUGACUGGAGCACAUCCUCCAAUCUCGGUUUGGCUCAUGAUGACUAUGAAAGGCAACAGCUGACAGUCUGAAUGAUAAAAUGAAGGGGGAGUUCUUGGCAGAGUCCAGCAACAAGCCAGUGUAACAAGAACAGAGAUGUGAGGCAGUAGUGUCAAGUUCAAGGACGUGGAGCUCCAAGACAAUAAAAACCUCUCAAUGGAACAUUCUUUUACUUAAUCUGCAGGCACUGCAACAUCUGUCUUUGCCUACCAGCACUAUCCCUACACAAGAUGAUUGGCCACUGAUUGUCCUCACCUCUACACAUUUGGUUCCCUUGAAGUCAAUGGGCAGAAGUGAGUAUAACUGGAGGUUGAUGAUGUCACCAUAUUUGGUAUUGACAACUGGAGGCAAAUUUCUCCCCAUUUUUAACAUGAGGAUAAGAAAAGUAACCUUGAAACUUACUCUGUCUUUAGUAAGGUCAUGGCUGAUCUGAUAUUGACUGAAAUUCCAUUUUCCUGUGUGUUCCUUUCAACACAUUAUUCAAAUAUCACUCAGUCUCUACCUUGUAUAUAUUCAGUGACUCCUCUACAGCUCUUUGACUCAAGACUUGAAAAGACUUAAUCCACCAAGAGAUGAAUUUCCUCUUCAUCUCCAUUGAAGGGCCAAGAUCAGGAGUUCCCAAUCCUUUUUAUGCCAUGUGUCACGUACCCUGUGACUGGGCUACCGAACCAGCAGAAAUGGAAUACAUGUUGGAGUCUGGUAUUACUUUAACUAAUAGUGUUUAUUAGUAAACUAAGUAAUACAGUACUAUAAAAUGCAAAUAUAUGAAACAGGUUAGCAAUGAUAUAUACAGAAGUGUGGAAAUAGGAAUCAAAACCAAGCUCUGUCAAAGUCUAGGGGUAAAUGGAUAGUCUUACGAUGGUGAAGAGUUCAGUUCAGUUUAGGUUGAGGUAGUUGCUGGUGUACCAUUGGGGAGAAAGAGAGCGAGAGGUGAUGCAGUUGCCAUCGAACCUUCCGUUAUCCUGUUGCGGUCACCGACUGUGACCAUACCAGGCACGACCAUUCUUCAGUGGUAGGCCUGUCACCCAGGCAAGGGUGGACACACAACAAGCCCCCACCGGUCGCACCUUCACACACUGUGAGCCACUGAUUGAUUCCCCCAAAUCGAUCCUCCAAACCCCCACUUUUAUGUGGGUGCACAACGCUCUUUCAGUGUCCCGUGGUGUGUCUGUCUGUGUCUUCGCAGACCUGCUUUUCAUCAUCACUUGCUGGACACCGGCUGUCCAUCAGGCCAGCCCCACCUUGCUGUCUCUGCAAGAAUCUUACAAGCAGGCAAAGAAUGUGUCCUUGGAGCAAUCAGCUAAGGAGCCAUAAUAUUAAAUCAUCUCUCUCUCAUCUGCAACAUAGUUCACGGGGGGGGGGGGGGGGGGGGGUCACCUCUGGACUCCAUCUUAGCUUGGUUUGUUCAUCGCACAUGGACCACUACCAUUAACUGAGGGGUUUGUGGACUCCAGGCUGGGAACCCCUGGGUUAGACAGAGUUGGCAUGGAGAGGGUGUUUCCAAUAAUGGGACCAAAGGACACAGCCUCAGACUUGAAGGCUGGGGAAGAAUUUCUUUAGCCAGCAGGUGGCAAAUCAAUGGAAUUCAUUGCCACUGACAACUUUAGAGCCCAAGUCAUUGGGUAUAUCUGAAGUGGAGGUCGAUAGGUUCUUAAUUAAUAAGGGAUUAAAGUUUAUGGGGAGAAGGCAGGAAAAUGGGGUUGAGAGGGAUAAUAAAUUGAAUGGUGAGGCAGAUUAAUGGCCUGAAUAGCCUAAUCCUACUCCCAUGCCUUAAUGGCCUUAUGGUUUGAAACUACACUGCUGCUUCUGUAAUCCUUCAUAAGAGAAAUAUCCUUUCAGCACCCACUCCAUGAAGACCCCCUCAAAAUAUUAUGAGUUUCAAUGGAUCACCUCUCCUUCAAUGAUGAUCCAGGCCAGUAUGACAUCGUUUGCUCCCUAAAUUUAUGUGUCAAGGUGAUAAAUGACUAUUACUCCAUCUUACUGCACCCCUUGCCUUCCACCCUCCAGCCGGCCUGUCCAUCUGAUACCAUUUACAUUCCGUUUGACUGUUAAGAAACAAGCUUACUCCACUGUCAAGGUGAAAAACUACGUCCGAACACUGUCCAAGCUGAAGUCUGUGGGCAGUUGUACUAAGGAGCAGUAUUAGACAGAGGAAUGAUGAUAAAUAAACUUAUUAAUGACUUAUAGGUUAUAACACCGAACUAUAGUGUAUCUGUAGCCCACUUUGACUUCCAGCUGCAUUAGCUUGACUGUAAAUUUCUCACUUUGAAUGAUAGGUUCCUGGUUCCGAGGGACACCAAUCACGUGCAGGUAUGAGGCAAUUAUGUGGCACAACUGACCAUUAAUAUUGAACAGGUGACUACAGGGAGCAAGCUUCUAAUUUCCCAAUGUCUCCAGUUAUCAGAUUAUCUUCUAGUUACUGGGGUUUAUAACCAGGUCUUUAGUGCUCCAUUGUAUGUGACUAACAAAGUAUUUAGUUGAUUUUUUUUUGUUUCAUUAGCCACCAGUGAGUAGUCUCUCAAACCAGUAAGUAGCACCAUCUGAAUCCAGGUCUGCAGUCACUAGAUCUAUUGGGUUAUGGAGGUUGAAUAAAUCAGGUUUGAUUGUAACUGCAAAAAUAAGAUUACACACGUUUUAGCCAAUGUUUCGUGAUGAUCCAUCACACGCAAUUUCCAAAACGAUUAGUGGUGUUGCAUACCUCGAAAUUUAUGGAUGUACUAGAUGGCUGUCAUCUAAAUAAUAUGACUGGAAAGAUUAGCUUCUGCAGAUCUGAUCUGAAGAGAUGCAAUUUCCCAGUUUUCCAGUAUCUAGUUAGGUUAGAUAUGACUAGUUAACCAAAUCUGUUACCCAGAUGGUGUAAUGUCAUUUACUGAAAGAGAUCAUUAAGACAUAGGAGUGGACCCAGGCCAUUCAGCCGAUUGGAUCUGGCUUGCCAUUCCAUCAUGUCUCACAUUUUAUCCCUCUCAACCCGAUUCUCCUGCUUUCUCCCCGUAACCAUUGGCACCCUUCCUGAUCAAGCACUGCGCUUCAAAUAUACCCAAUGACUUGGCCUCCACUGUAGACUCUGGACAGAGUCAUCACCAUUCACCCAUGAAUGAGCUAAAAUUGUGUUGCGCCCAUCGGCUGCUGUGGACAUGUAGUUAGUUGGAUCCUUUUCCAGAAUGUUUAAUUGACCCAUGGGACAGGGGAAUGGAGGGUCAAGAAGAUUUGAGACUAGAAGUAGAACAGGAAAUUGACAGGCAUUUGAAGGGGCAUGCAGACAGGCACAGAGAAGAACAACUUACAUUUAUAUCAAUUUUCAUGUCCCUUUUGGAAUAUUGUGAAGUACUUCCAUCCGGUUAAAUAUCUCUGCAGUAAUUUUGAAAUCUAGACACUAUUAUCAUUUGGAAAUAUGGUAGUCAAUGGUACAUGGCAAGCUCUAGAAUCAGCAGAGAGUUAAUGAAGGCUAAAGAAAUUCCUUCUCAUCUCUGUUCUAAAUGGAUGCCUAUAUUUUCUGAGGCUGUGCGCUCUUGUCCUAGACUCGCCCACUAUAGGAAACAUCCUCUCCACAUCUACUUUGUCUAGGCCUUUCAAUGUUCAAUAGGUUUCAAUGAGAUACUCCCCUGCCCCUUCCAUGCCAGCAAGUAGAUCAAAUGCUCCCCAUAAAUUAACCCUUUCAUUCCUGGAUUCAUUCUCAUCAUCCUCCUCCGGACCCUCUCCAAUCCCAGCACAGGUGUUCUAAGAUAAGGGGCCCAUUGAGAUAAAGAGUGCAAAAUUAAUUCUUCUCACUAAUAUCAUCUUCAUUCCUGUACCCUCCACAUUCCAUGAACAAUCUGUACAGCACUUCAAAGUGUUUUAAACAUUUUAUAAGCAUGCACAUUGCAUUCAUCUUCCCCUUGAAAAAUAACACUGAUCCUUUGGUGAUUGCUUAAGUUACUUUGCUACACUGUAUGAAACUUGAAAUUAACAAUUCAAUUGAUAUCAUCAUCUUGAUCGAGAAGGAAGGUAUAAACAGCACUUGCACUUCUUACUGUUACCGAGAGGAAGUUCUUUUGUUCAUCCAAUACUUUAGUGCCCAGAAUGUGUUCCCAUUGACCAUCCAUUACGCCCAUUGGUGUGUCUGGUUAUGCUGCAGUUCAAGUCAAAUGUUGUUAGGAGGAUCCUGCAUUUUUAGAGCCUCUUUCACAACCAUGGGACAUUCCAAAAUAUUUCUCAGCCAGUGAAGUACUUUGGGGUGCAGUCGCUGUUUU